GGGUUGUGAGGUUAAGCGACUAAGCGUACACGGUGGAUGCCCUGGCAGUCAGAGGCGAUGAAGGACGUGCUAAUCUGCGAUAAGCGUCGGUAAGGUGAUAUGAACCGUUAUAACCGGCGAUUUCCGAAUGGGGAAACCCAGUGUGUUUCGACACACUAUCAUUAACUGAAUCCAUAGGUUAAUGAGGCGAACCGGGGGAACUGAAACAUCUAAGUACCCCGAGGAAAAGAAAUCAACCGAGAUUCCCCCAGUAGCGGCGAGCGAACGGGGAGCAGCCCAGAGCCUGAAUCAGUGUGUGUGUUAGUGGAAGCGUCUGGAAAGGCGCGCGAUACAGGGUGACAGCCCCGUACACAAAAAUGCACAUGCUGUGAGCUCGAUGAGUAGGGCGGGACACGUGGUAUCCUGUCUGAAUAUGGGGGGACCAUCCUCCAAGGCUAAAUACUCCUGACUGACCGAUAGUGAACCAGUACCGUGAGGGAAAGGCGAAAAGAACCCCGGCGAGGGGAGUGAAAAAGAACCUGAAACCGUGUACGUACAAGCAGUGGGAGCCUCUUUUAUGGGGUGACUGCGUACCUUUUGUAUAAUGGGUCAGCGACUUAUAUUCUGUAGCAAGGUUAACCGAAUAGGGGAGCCGAAGGGAAACCGAGUCUUAACUGGGCGUUAAGUUGCAGGGUAUAGACCCGAAACCCGGUGAUCUAGCCAUGGGCAGGUUGAAGGUUGGGUAACACUAACUGGAGGACCGAACCGACUAAUGUUGAAAAAUUAGCGGAUGACUUGUGGCUGGGGGUGAAAGGCCAAUCAAACCGGGAGAUAGCUGGUUCUCCCCGAAAGCUAUUUAGGUAGCGCCUCGUGAAUUCAUCUCCGGGGGUAGAGCACUGUUUCGGCAAGGGGGUCAUCCCGACUUACCAACCCGAUGCAAACUGCGAAUACCGGAGAAUGUUAUCACGGGAGACACACGGCGGGUGCUAACGUCCGUCGUGAAGAGGGAAACAACCCAGACCGCCAGCUAAGGUCCCAAAGUCAUGGUUAAGUGGGAAACGAUGUGGGAAGGCCCAGACAGCCAGGAUGUUGGCUUAGAAGCAGCCAUCAUUUAAAGAAAGCGUAAUAGCUCACUGGUCGAGUCGGCCUGCGCGGAAGAUGUAACGGGGCUAAACCAUGCACCGAAGCUGCGGCAGCGACGCUUAUGCGUUGUUGGGUAGGGGAGCGUUCUGUAAGCCUGUGAAGGUGUGCUGUGAGGCAUGCUGGAGGUAUCAGAAGUGCGAAUGCUGACAUAAGUAACGAUAAAGCGGGUGAAAAGCCCGCUCGCCGGAAGACCAAGGGUUCCUGUCCAACGUUAAUCGGGGCAGGGUGAGUCGACCCCUAAGGCGAGGCCGAAAGGCGUAGUCGAUGGGAAACAGGUUAAUAUUCCUGUACUUGGUGUUACUGCGAAGGGGGGACGGAGAAGGCUAUGUUGGCCGGGCGACGGUUGUCCCGGUUUAAGCGUGUAGGCUGGUUUUCCAGGCAAAUCCGGAAAAUCAAGGCUGAGGCGUGAUGACGAGGCACUACGGUGCUGAAGCAACAAAUGCCCUGCUUCCAGGAAAAGCCUCUAAGCAUCAGGUAACAUCAAAUCGUACCCCAAACCGACACAGGUGGUCAGGUAGAGAAUACCAAGGCGCUUGAGAGAACUCGGGUGAAGGAACUAGGCAAAAUGGUGCCGUAACUUCGGGAGAAGGCACGCUGAUAUGUAGGUGAAGCGACUUGCUCGUGGAGCUGAAAUCAGUCGAAGAUACCAGCUGGCUGCAACUGUUUAUUAAAAACACAGCACUGUGCAAACACGAAAGUGGACGUAUACGGUGUGACGCCUGCCCGGUGCCGGAAGGUUAAUUGAUGGGGUCAGCGCAAGCGAAGCUCUUGAUCGAAGCCCCGGUAAACGGCGGCCGUAACUAUAACGGUCCUAAGGUAGCGAAAUUCCUUGUCGGGUAAGUUCCGACCUGCACGAAUGGCGUAAUGAUGGCCAGGCUGUCUCCACCCGAGACUCAGUGAAAUUGAACUCGCUGUGAAGAUGCAGUGUACCCGCGGCAAGACGGAAAGACCCCGUGAACCUUUACUAUAGCUUGACACUGAACAUUGAGCCUUGAUGUGUAGGAUAGGUGGGAGGCUUUGAAGUGUGGACGCCAGUCUGCAUGGAGCCGACCUUGAAAUACCACCCUUUAAUGUUUGAUGUUCUAACGUUGACCCGUAAUCCGGGUUGCGGACAGUGUCUGGUGGGUAGUUUGACUGGGGCGGUCUCCUCCUAAAGAGUAACGGAGGAGCACGAAGGUUGGCUAAUCCUGGUCGGACAUCAGGAGGUUAGUGCAAUGGCAUAAGCCAGCUUGACUGCGAGCGUGACGGCGCGAGCAGGUGCGAAAGCAGGUCAUAGUGAUCCGGUGGUUCUGAAUGGAAGGGCCAUCGCUCAACGGAUAAAAGGUACUCCGGGGAUAACAGGCUGAUACCGCCCAAGAGUUCAUAUCGACGGCGGUGUUUGGCACCUCGAUGUCGGCUCAUCACAUCCUGGGGCUGAAGUAGGUCCCAAGGGUAUGGCUGUUCGCCAUUUAAAGUGGUACGCGAGCUGGGUUUAGAACGUCGUGAGACAGUUCGGUCCCUAUCUGCCGUGGGCGCUGGAGAACUGAGGGGGGCUGCUCCUAGUACGAGAGGACCGGAGUGGACGCAUCACUGGUGUUCGGGUUGUCAUGCCAAUGGCACUGCCCGGUAGCUAAAUGCGGAAGAGAUAAGUGCUGAAAGCAUCUAAGCACGAAACUUGCCCCGAGAUGAGUUCUCCCUGACUCCUUGAGAGUCCUGAAGGAACGUUGAAGACGAC
Molecule: ribosomal RNA, 2836 nt
Filed under: Escherichia coli
Lineage: Bacteria; Pseudomonadati; Pseudomonadota; Gammaproteobacteria; Enterobacterales; Enterobacteriaceae
Description: bacterial LSU rRNA
Rfam family: Bacterial large subunit ribosomal RNA
Source: RNAcentral